This 254-nucleotide ribosomal RNA is filed under the name uncultured bacterium. RNAcentral describes it as "partial 16S ribosomal RNA". It matches the Rfam family "Bacterial small subunit ribosomal RNA", at positions 524 to 777 of the family's 1533-position model. The record is from RNAcentral.
UACGGGGGGGGCAAGCGUUGUUCGGAAUUACUGGGCGUAAAGGGCUCGUAGGUGGUCAACUAAGUCGGACGUGAAAUCCCUCGGCUUAACCGGGGAACUGCGUCCGAUACUGGAUGACUUGAGUUCGGGAGAGGGAUGCGGAAUUCCAGGUGUAGCGGUGAAAUGCGUAGAUAUCUGGAGGAACACCGGUGGCGAAGGCGGCAUCCUGGACCGACACUGACGCUGAGGAGCGAAAGCAUGGGGAGCGAACAGGG